RNAcentral lists this ribosomal RNA (869 nucleotides) under uncultured archaeon. Its description in RNAcentral is "bacterial SSU rRNA". It matches the Rfam family "Archaeal small subunit ribosomal RNA", at positions 1 to 878 of the family's 1478-position model. The record is from RNAcentral.
CUCCGGUUGAUCCUGCCGGACUUGACUGCUAUCGGAUUGGUACUAAGCCAUGCGAGUCAUUGUAGCAAUACAAGGCGGACGGCUCAGUAACACGUAGUCAACCUAACUCGUGGACGUGGAUAACCUCGGGAAACUGAGAAUAAACCACGAUAGACCAUAGUGCCUGGAAUGGCUUAUGGUCCAAACAGUUUACUGCCAUGGGAUGGGACUGCGGCCUAUCAGCUUGUUGGUGAGGUAAUGGCCCACCAAGGCGAUUACAGGUACGGGCUCUGAGAGGAGAAGCCCGGAGAUGGGUACUGAGACACGGACCCAGGCCCUAUGGGGCGCAGCAGGCGAGAAACCUUAGCAAUGUGCGAAAGCACGACUGGGUCAGUCCGAGUGAUUCCUGAUAAAGGAGUCUUUUGCUUGUCCUAAAAGCACAGGUGAAUAAGGGGUGGGCAAGUCUGGUGUCAGCCGCCGCGGUAAUACCAGCACCUCGAGUGGUCAGGACGUUUAUUGGGCCUAAAGCAUCCGUAGCCGGCUUUGCAAGUCUUCGGUUAAAUCCACCUGCUCAACAGAUGGGCUGCUGGAGAUACUACAAAGCUAGGGAGUGGGAGAGGCAGACGGUAUUCAGUGGGUAGGGGUAAAAUCCUCUGAUCCAUUGAGGACCACCAGUGGCGAAGGCGGUCUGCCAGAACACGUUCGACGGUGAGGGAUGAAAGCUGGGGGAGCAAACCGGAUUAGAUACCCGGGUAGUCCCAGCUGUAAACGAUGCAAACUCGGUGAUGCAUUGGCUUAUGGCCAAUGCAGUGCCGCAGGGAAGCCGUUAAGUUUGCCGCCUGGGACCUACGGACGCAAGUCUGAAACUUAAAGGAAUUGGGGGGGGAACA